UCUCAAUACAGUAAAUUAGUAGAUUAGUGCAAGAAAAUACUGUAGUUCUUUUUAACAUAAAUUACCAGUCAAAAGGUUUCCGACACCCCCCUUUUUCCAUUUUCUAUAGAAAUGCAAGCGUUCCAGUCCAGUGAAUAACCUGAAAAAGUACAAAGUCUGAUAGAGCUUGAGAGGAUCUACAAGGAAAAAUGGGAGAAACUACCCAAAUCCAAAUGUACACACCGAAGAAGAUUGAGAAUGCACCCGCAGGGAAGAAAUGAUUCUGAGGGACCAGAGGCAUUAGCCCAACUGACCCUGACUCCUACUGAUGUUCCCCCUCAGCCCACUUCAUCUGCUCCCCGGCAGCCAUAACUACACCAGUGACCCGGAGGGGACGUCCCAGGGCCACAAGGAGCAGGUCCCUACCCAGACAAUCUCGUGGGGGUUCACGAUCUCGUUCCCCAGUCCAGACUCAAGCAGCACAGCCUGCCCUCUGGCCCUGGUCUGGCAUCUGAUUCAUUGGCCAACCUAAUGAAUCCUGAGUUCUUAAGCACCGGUUAUCACUUGUCCUGUGAUCAUUCCCACCCCAGCCCAGGGUUAUUCAGACGUCUACUAUCCUUGCAGUUUGGAAAAUGUGGGACCAUCCGGGAGGGAAGGAAGGAUGCUCCGAAACCUACAGAGAACGCUAUGGACAAUUCAUCUCAACUAGUUUCUAUGAGUUGGAUUAGAGAAAACAUCUUUUUACAAAAUGGAAGGACAGCCGUGAGGUCUCCAUUCCAUGUGUAGCAGUAUUCACCCCUCUGUACUACGAAGACAAACAAGAAAGGAUGGAACCCGGGAGAGAGUGACCAUUCCCGUCCACACACCUGUUGUUGAAUACAAGUACGUGGGAGGGUGGACCUAUCACACAAACUCAUACAGCCCGUCCCAUAAGCCCGAGCUACAUCAAUGAUGCUUGUGCGGAUGACAUAGACCCAGAACCGACUCAAAAGGCCACAAAAGGGCAUUGAAGAUGUGCAAGGUGCCAUGGACUUGGAUUGGAAAACAAAACACCAUGGAAGUGCAAGGACUGCAAUGUGCCUCCCUGCCUGGUUGUAGACCGAAAUCGGUUCAGUGAGUGGCACGCAUAAAAAAAAAGACGUUCUGUGUGAUCACUUCAGUUAGUGAGGUUAUAUCAAUCUACUGUGGGAAACAUUACAUUUGGUCUAAAACGUAUGUUGACCAUGAUGCAAUUAAAAUGCAAAAAAACUGUGAAAUAGAUUUUUUCUUUGUAAUGGGCAAUGUUCACUGAAUGAAAUAUCAAGUGAACUAAAAGCUCUGUAAGUCAUAUUUGGUGCAUUUAGAGUUGUUUUAACACUAAACUCCCUAACAUUUUCACAUGCGUUUUGAUUUUUUUCCCCUUAUA
Molecule: long non-coding RNA, 1384 nt
Organism: Esox lucius (northern pike)
Lineage: Eukaryota; Metazoa; Chordata; Actinopteri; Esociformes; Esocidae
Exons: 3
Source: RefSeq, a predicted model, not a curated record